ACUGAAGUCUGCAGGAUGGUAGCUCCCAGGAGCAGGGUUGGAGAUCCCUGGCCUACAGUGUCUCUUCUCCUACAAGUAAAAUCAUUAAUGAUGGAGCAGCUCCUGAAGGCAUGGAGAGCAUGAAACCAAGGCAGUCGUGACAAGAAGAGGAAAGGUUUUUUCCCCCUGCAGACCACUCUCACCUGCAGCUCAUCACAAUUAUACAAGGUCUAAAAUGUAACUGAAGCAAUGAUUGUGUUCUGUGGUAAAGGAGCCAAGAACAAGCAAGAAAAAAAGCAACUGAGAGAAAGUACAAAGACUUCUGAAAUACAUACCACAAACUGUACCCGCAAGAUAGAAGAGAUUUUCAUCUUUUUUUUUUUUAACCUACCAC
This is a long non-coding RNA of Cyprinus carpio carpio, 373 nucleotides long. Lineage: Eukaryota; Metazoa; Chordata; Actinopteri; Cypriniformes; Cyprinidae. The record is from Ensembl.